Molecule: ribosomal RNA, 334 nt
Filed under: uncultured bacterium
Lineage: Bacteria
Description: partial 16S ribosomal RNA
Rfam family: Bacterial small subunit ribosomal RNA
Source: RNAcentral
CCUACGGGGGGCUGCAGUGAGGAAUAUUGGUCAAUGGACGAGAGUCUGAACCAGCCAAGUAGCGUGAAGGAUGACUGCCCUAUGGGUUGUAAACUUCUUUUAUAAAGGAAUAAAACGAGGCACGUGUGCCUUUUUGCAUGUACGUUAUGAAUAAGGAUCGGCGAACUCCGUGCCAGCAUCCGCGGUAAUACGGAGGAUCCGAGCGUUAUCCGGAUUUAUUGGGUUUACAGGGAGCGUAGAUGGGUUGUUAAGUCAGUUGUGACAGUUUGCGGCUCAACCGUCAAAUUGCAAUUGAUACUGGCAGUCUUGCGUACAGUUGAGGUAGGCGGACUUC